RNAcentral lists this ribosomal RNA (478 nucleotides) under uncultured organism. Its description in RNAcentral is "partial 16S ribosomal RNA". It matches the Rfam family "Bacterial small subunit ribosomal RNA", at positions 331 to 800 of the family's 1533-position model. The record is from RNAcentral.
GUACACUCCUACGGGAGGCAGCAGUGGGGAAUUUUGGACAAUGGGCGAAAGCCUGAUCCAGCAAUGCCGCGUGAGUGAAGAAGGCCUUCGGGUUGUAAAGCUCUUUUGUCAGGGAAGAAACGGUGAAAGCUAAUAUCUUUUGCUAAUGACGGUACCUGAAGAAUAAGCACCGACUAACUACGUGCCAGCAGCCGCGGUAAUACGAAGGGUGCAAGCGUUAAUCGGAAUUACUGGGCGUAAAGCGUGCGCAGGCGGUUUUGUAAGUCUGAUGUGAAAUCCCCGGGCUCAACCUGGGAAUUGCAUUGGAGACUGCAAGGCUAGAAUCUGGCAGAGGGGGGUAGAAUUCCACGUGUAGCAGUGAAAUGCGUAGAUAUGUGGAGGAACACCGAUGGCGAAGGCAGCCCCCUGGGUCAAGAUUGACGCUCAUGCACGAAAGCGUGGGGAGCAAACAGGAUUAGAAACCCCGGUAGUCCCAUGA